RNAcentral lists this ribosomal RNA (1347 nucleotides) under uncultured bacterium. RNAcentral describes it as "partial 16S ribosomal RNA". It matches the Rfam family "Bacterial small subunit ribosomal RNA", at positions 28 to 1382 of the family's 1533-position model. The record is from RNAcentral.
GACGAACGCUGGCGGCGUGCUUAACACAUGCAAGUCGAACGGAAAGGCCCUGCUUUUGUGGGGUGCUCGAGUGGCGAACGGGUGAGUAACACGUGAGUAACCUGCCCUUGACUUUGGGAUAACUUCAGGAAACUGGGGCUAAUACCGGAUAGGAGCUCCUGCUGCAUGGUGGGGGUUGGAAAGUUUCGGCGGUUGGGGAUGGACUCGCGGCUUAUCAGCUAGUUGGUGGGGUAGUGGCUUACCAAGGCUUUGACGGGUAGCCGGCCUGAGAGGGUGACCGGCCACAUUGGGACUGAGAUACGGCCCAGACUCCUACGGGAGGCAGCAGUGGGGAAUAUUGCACAAUGGGCGGAAGCCUGAUGCAGCAACGCCGCGUGCGGGAUGACGGCCUUCGGGUUGUAAACCGCUUUCGCCUGUGACGAAGCGUGAGUGACGGUAAUGGGUAAAGAAGCACCGGCUAACUACGUGCCAGCAGCCGCGGUGAUACGUAGGGUGCGAGCGUUGUCCGGAUUUAUUGGGCGUAAAGGGCUCGUAGGUGGUUGAUCGCGUCGGAAGUGUAAUCUUGGGGCUUAACCCUGAGCGUGCUUUCGAUACGGGUUGACUUGAGGAAGGUAGGGGAGAAUGGAAUUCCUGGUGGAGCGGUGGAAUGCGCAGAUAUCAGGAGGAACACCAGUGGCGAAGGCGGUUCUCUGGGCCUUUCCUGACGCUGAGGAGCGAAAGCGUGGGGAGCGAACAGGCUUAGAUACCCUGGUAGUCCACGCUGUAAACGGUGGGUACUAGGUGUGGGGUCCAUUCCACGGGUUCCGUGCCGUAGCUAACGCUUUAAGUACCCCGCCUGGGGAGUACGGCCGCAAGGCUAAAACUCAAAGGAAUUGACGGGGCCCCGCACAAGCGGCGGAGCAUGCGGAUUAAUUCGAUGCAACGCGUAGAACCUUACCUGGGUUUGACAUGGAUCGGGAGUGCUCAGAGAUGGGUGUGCCUCUUUUGGGGUCGGUUCACAGGUGGUGCAUGGCUGUCGUCAGCUCGUGUCGUGAGAUGUUGGGUUAAGUCCCGCAACGAGCGCAACCCUUGUUCACUGUUGCCAGCACGUUAUGGUGGGGACUCAGUGGAGACCGCCGGGGUCAACUCGGAGGAAGGUGGGGAUGACGUCAAGUCAUCAUGCCCCUUAUGUCCAGGGCUUCACGCAUGCUACAAUGGCUGGUACAGAGAGUGGCGAGCCUGUGAGGGUGAGCGAAUCUCGGAAAGCCGGUCUCAGUUCGGAUUGGGGUCUGCAACUCGACCUCAUGAAGUCGGAGUCGCUAGUAAUCGCAGAUCAGCAACGCUGCGGUGAAUACGUUCCCGGGGGCU